This 263-nucleotide ribosomal RNA is filed under the name uncultured archaeon. RNAcentral describes it as "partial 16S ribosomal RNA". It matches the Rfam family "Archaeal small subunit ribosomal RNA", at positions 748 to 1009 of the family's 1478-position model. The record is from RNAcentral.
CAGCCGUAAACUAUGCUCGCUAGGUGUCAGGGACGGUGCGACCGUUUCUGGUGCCGCAGGGAAGCCGUGAAGCGAGCCACCUGGGAAGUACGGUCGCAAGGCUGAAACUUAAAGGAAUUGGCGGGGGGAGCACCACAACGCGUGGAGCCUGCGGUUUAAUUUGGAUUCAACGCCGGACAUCUCACCAGGGGCGACAGCAGAAUGAUGGCCAGGUUGAUGACCUUGCUUGACAAGCUGAGAGGAGGUGCAUGGCGUAGUCGUGU